ACAGAGGUGGCAAGCGUUGUUCGGAAUUACUGGGCGUAAAGGGCGCGUAGGCGGCCAUCUAAGUCAGACGUGAAAUCCCCCGGCUUGACCUGGGAACUGCGUCUGAUACUGGACGGCUUGAAUCCGGGAGAGGGAUGUGGAAUUCCAGGUGUAGCGGUGAAAUGCGUAGAUAUCUGGAGGAACACCGGUGGCGAAGGCGGCAUCCUGGACCGGUAUUGACGCUGAGGCGCGAAAGCCAGGGGAGCAAACGGGA
RNAcentral lists this ribosomal RNA (253 nucleotides) under uncultured prokaryote. RNAcentral's name for it is "partial 16S ribosomal RNA". It matches the Rfam family "Bacterial small subunit ribosomal RNA", at positions 525 to 777 of the family's 1533-position model. The record is from RNAcentral.